AGAAUGAACGCUGGCGGCGUGGUUAAGACAUGCAAGUCGAACGGGUUUUUCGGGGUAGCAAUAUCACGGAAAAUCAGUGGCGAACGGGUGCGUAACACGUGAACAAUUUACCUCUAAGUGUGGAAUAGCUCGCCGAAAGGCGAAUUAAUACCGCAUACGGUUGGUGGCCUCAUGGUCGCCAUACCAAAGCCGGGGACGCAAGGCCCGGCGCUUGGAGAGGAGUUCGCGGCCUAUCAGCUAGUUGGCGGGGUAAUGGCCCACCAAGGCGAUGAUCGGUA
RNAcentral lists this ribosomal RNA (278 nucleotides) under uncultured bacterium. Its description in RNAcentral is "partial small subunit ribosomal RNA". It matches the Rfam family "Bacterial small subunit ribosomal RNA", at positions 26 to 285 of the family's 1533-position model. The record is from RNAcentral.